GAGUUUGAUCGUGGCUCAGAGCGAACGCUGGCGGCGUGGCUAAGACAUGCAAGUCGAACGGACCGCAAGGUCAGUGGCGGAAGGGUGAGUAAUGUAUGGGCAACCUGCCCCGGACAGGAGCAUAGCCGGUCGAAAGAUCGGGUAAUACUCCAUGACGUCCUGCGGUAGCAUUAUCGGAGGACCAAAGGUCCGCCGGUCCGGGAGGGGCCCAUAUUCCAUCAGCUAGUUGGCGGGGUAACGGCCCACCAAGGCUGCAACGGAUAGCCGGACUGAGAGGUCGGCCGGCCACAUCGGGACUGAGACACUGCCCGGACUCCUACGGGGGGCUGCAGUAACGAAUCUUCCGCAAUGGGCGCAAGCCUGACGGAGCGACGCCGCGUGCGGGACGAAGUCCUUCGGGA
RNAcentral lists this ribosomal RNA (401 nucleotides) under uncultured Clostridia bacterium. Its description in RNAcentral is "bacterial SSU rRNA". It matches the Rfam family "Bacterial small subunit ribosomal RNA", at positions 9 to 423 of the family's 1533-position model. Lineage: Bacteria; Bacillati; Bacillota; Clostridia. The record is from RNAcentral.